RNAcentral lists this ribosomal RNA (468 nucleotides) under uncultured bacterium. RNAcentral's name for it is "partial 16S ribosomal RNA". It matches the Rfam family "Bacterial small subunit ribosomal RNA", at positions 28 to 507 of the family's 1533-position model. The record is from RNAcentral.
GACGAACGCUGGCGGCGUGCUUAACACAUGCAAGUCGAACGGAAAGGCCCUGCUUUUGUGGGGUGCUCGAGUGGCGAACGGGUGAGUAACACGUGAGUAACCUGCCCUUGACUUUGGGAUAACUUCAGGAAACUGGGGCUAAUACCGGAUAGGAGCUCCUGCUGCAUGGUGGGGGUUGGAAAGUUUCGGCGGUUGGGGAUGGACUCGCGGCUUAUCAGCUUGUUGGUGGGGUAGUGGCUUACCAAGGCUUUGACGGGUAGCCGGCCCGAGAGGGUGACCGGCCACAUUGGGACUAGGAUACGGCCCAGACUCCUACGGGAGGCAGCAGUGGGGAAUAUUGCACAAUGGGCGGAAGCCUGAUGCAGCAACGCCGCGUGCGGGAUGACGGCCUUCGGGUUGUAAACCGCUUUCGCCUGUGACGAAGCGUGAGUGACGGUAAUGGGUAAAGAAGCACCGGCUAACUACGUG